UACAGAGGUCCCGAGCGUUGUUCGGAUUCACUGGGCGUAAAGGGUGCGUAGGUGGCGAGGGAAGUCGGAUGUGAAAGCUCGGAGCUCAACUCCGAAAUGGCAUUGGAAACUACCUUGCUCGAGGGUUGGAGGGGGGACUGGAAUACUUGGUGUAGCAGUGAAAUGCGUAGAUAUCAAGUGGAACACCAGUGGCGAAGGCGAGUCCCUGGACAACUCCUGACACUGAGGCACGAAAGCUAGGGGAGCAAACAGG
This 253-nucleotide ribosomal RNA is filed under the name uncultured bacterium. RNAcentral describes it as "partial 16S ribosomal RNA". It matches the Rfam family "Bacterial small subunit ribosomal RNA", at positions 524 to 776 of the family's 1533-position model. The record is from RNAcentral.